RNAcentral lists this ribosomal RNA (1265 nucleotides) under human gut metagenome. RNAcentral's name for it is "bacterial LSU rRNA". It matches the Rfam family "Bacterial large subunit ribosomal RNA", at positions 598 to 1980 of the family's 2925-position model. The record is from RNAcentral.
AUGGUACUUUUUGUAGAACGGUCCGGCGAGCGAAUGUAUGCAGCGAGGUUAAGAACUUCUGGUUUGAAGCCGAAGCGAAAGCGAGUCUGAAAGGGGCGGCAAGUUGCAUGCAUUGAGCCCGAAACCGGGUGACCUAUCCAUGGUCAGGCUGAAGUGGAGGUAAAACUCCAUGGAGGGCCGAACCGACCUCCGUUGAAAUGGCGGCGGAUGAACUGUGGAUAGCGGAGAAAUUCCAAACGAACCCGGAGAUAGCUGGUUCUCCCCGAAAUAGCUUUAGGGCUAGCCUCGAUGAAGAUUGCCGCAGGUAGAGCACUGAAUAGGGAAGGGGUCGAGAGAUUACCGAACCUUAUCAAACUUCGAAUGGCGGACAAUGAGAGACAUCGGGAGUCAGACAGUGGGAGAUAAGUUUCAUUGUCGAGAGGGAAACAGCCCAGAUCUACAGCUAAGGUCCCAAAGUAUACUUAAGUGGAAAAGGAUGUGGAAUUGCACAAACAACCAGGAUGUUGGCUCAGAAGCAGCCACACAUUUAAAGAGUGCGUAAUAGCUCACUGGUCUAGUGACUCUGCGCCGAAGAUUUAACGGGGCUAAAGUAUACACCGAAGCUUAGGCAUCGAGAGAUGGGUAGGGGAGCGUCGAAUAGGAGGCGAAGCAUCAGCGGAAGCGGAUGUGGAUCGUAUUCGAGUGAGAAUGCCGGAAUGAGUAGCGCGAAUUGAGUGAGAAUCUCAAUGGCCGAAAACCUAAGGAUUUUGGAGGAAGGUUCGUCCGCUCCAAGUUAGUCGGGAGCUAAGGCGAGGCCGAAAGGCGUAGUCGAUGCACACACGGCAGAUAUUCCGUGACCACCGAAAUAUUUAAGCACGAGGACACUUUCAGAAGGUAAAAGCAGGCGUUGGUAGCCCUGCGGCAGCUGGAUGGGAGGCGAGAAAAGUCGUGAGGUAUAUAUGAGGUGCCCGUACCGCAAACCGACACAGGUAGGAAGGAAGAGGAUUCUAAGGCCAACGGGAGAAGGGUUGUUAAGGAACUCGGCAAGUUGACCCCGUAACUUAGGGAUAAGGGGUGCCUACGAAAGUAGGCCGCAGAGAAUAGGUCCAGGCAACUGUUUAUCAAAAACACAGGUCUGUGCUAAAUCGAAAGAUGAAGUAUACGGGCUGACACCUGCCCGGUGCUGGAAGGUUAAGAGGAGAUGUGAGAGCAUUGAAUCGAAGCCCCAGUAAACGGCGGCUGUAACUAUAACAGUCCUAAGGUAGCGAAAUUCCUUGUCAGGUAAG